This 481-nucleotide ribosomal RNA is filed under the name Clostridioides difficile. Its description in RNAcentral is "partial 23S ribosomal RNA". It matches the Rfam family "Bacterial large subunit ribosomal RNA", at positions 2253 to 2733 of the family's 2925-position model. Lineage: Bacteria; Bacillati; Bacillota; Clostridia; Peptostreptococcales; Peptostreptococcaceae. The record is from RNAcentral.
ACUGUCAGGUGGGCAGUUUGACUGGGGCGGUCGCCUCCCAAAAGGUAACGGAGGCGCUCAAAGGUUCUCUCAGUACGGUCGGAAAUCGUACGUAGAGUGUAAAGGCAAAAGAGAGCUUGAUUGCAAGACAUACAGGUCGAGCAAGGAUGAAAAUCGGACUUAGUGAUCCGGUGGUUCUGCGUGGAAGGGCCAUCGCUCAACGGAUAAAAGCUACCCUGGGGAUAACAGGCUUAUCUCCCCCAAGAGUCCACAUCGACGGGGAGGUUUGGCACCUCGAUGUCGGCUCAUCACAUCCUGGGGCUGUAGUAGGUCCCAAGGGUUGGGCUGUUCGCCCAUUAAAGUGGUACGCGAGCUGGGUUCAGAACGUCGUGAGACAGUUCGGUCCCUAUCCGUCGCAGGCGUAGGAAAUUUGAGAAGACCUGUCCUUAGUACGAGAGGACCGGGAUGGACGUACCUCUGGUGUACCAGUUGUCCUGCCAAG